RNAcentral lists this long non-coding RNA (522 nucleotides) under Homo sapiens (human). RNAcentral's name for it is "non-protein coding lnc-NFKBIZ-2:1". The record is from RNAcentral. Lineage: Eukaryota; Metazoa; Chordata; Mammalia; Primates; Hominidae.
GGCUGGUCUCGAACUUCUGGUCUCAACUGAUCUGCCCACCUCAGCCUCCCAAAGUGCUGGGAUUACAGGCAUGAGCCAUCACGCCCAGCUGAUUGUAGAUUCCUCUCAAAAUGUGUCUUGCUUUUUCCUUUGUACUCCUUGUCCUCUGGCCUGUUGUCCCUGCUCUCUCCAUCACACCAUUCCCCUUGCCUGUCAGCUCAAGAGGGUUUGGGGGUGAGAUAGUGCAGCUGCUGAGUGCCCUAGGUUCAAAGUUUCAGUCUUUGGUCGACAUUAGUAUCUUAUGUGAAGCUUGUUAAACAUGCAAAUACUUAGGCCCCACCCCAGGUUUCCUGAAUCAGAAUCUCCAGGAUUUUCAGGGCUUCUGGCAGAUUAUAUGUGGUGAUUCUAAUGCAGUUUUAGUCUAAAUUAAUUAGGAAAUGCAGACUUUGGAGAGUAGCUGUGGUUGGGCAGUAGCCAUAUGGUGGUAACAGAAUGGGUUUCUGGAAUGCGUAUGGGGAUGAAGUGGCAACUGAUGAAGAUGUG